UGGGGAAUUUUGGACAAUGGGCGAAGCCUGAUCCAGCAAUGCCGCGUGUGUGAAGAAGGCCUUCGGGUUGUAAAGCACUUUUGUCCGGAAAGAAAUCCUUGGCUCUAAUACAGUCGGGGGAUGACGGUACCGGAAGAAUAAGCACCGGCUAACUACGUGCCAGCAGCCGCGGUAAUACGUAGGGUGCAAGCGUUAAUCGGAAUUACUGGGCGUAAAGCGUGCGCAGGCGGUUUGCUAAGACCGAUGUGAAAUCCCCGGGCUCAACCUGGGAACUGCAUUUGGUGACUGGCAGGCUAGAGUAUGGCAGAGGGGGGUUAGAAUUCCACGUGUAGCAGUGAAAUGCGUAGAGAUGUGGAGGAAUACCGAUGGCGAAGGCAGCCCCCUGGGCAAUACUGACGCUCAUGCACGAAAGCGUGGGGAGCAAACAGGAUUAGAUACCCUGGUAGUCCACGCCCUAAACGAUGUCAACUAGUUGUUGGGGAUUCAUUUCCUUAGUAACGUAGCUAACGCGUGAGUUGACCGCCUGGGGAGUACGGUCGCAAGAUUAAAACUCAAAGGAAUUGACGGGGUCAUAGCUGUUUCCU
This 584-nucleotide ribosomal RNA is filed under the name uncultured bacterium. RNAcentral's name for it is "partial 16S ribosomal RNA". It matches the Rfam family "Bacterial small subunit ribosomal RNA", at positions 355 to 1375 of the family's 1533-position model. The record is from RNAcentral.